GAUGCCAAAGGUGUGGAGCGCGCAGUUGGAGCCCGAAGCAGAAGGGGCAGCAGAGAGGCAGGAAAGUUUCGUGGCUGUGGGCUGAUUCCGAAAGCAGAGGCCACGAGAGCGUUUCGGGGAAGGGGCCCAGGCGCCCACCGCCCACGGGGACAUCGGGAGCCAGAAGUGGACAUUAAGGAAUGUGAGGGAAGCCAAUCAGGGGCGAGGCGCCGUGUCCCACGCCCAGGACACCCGCGGGGGAAGGCCGAGUUAGCUAAGAAAUGAAAACAUAUGAUCAACGAAUUUUAGUCCCAAGGGCCCCGACUUUGUGCCAAGGAGAGAGAUGCACGCGUGUUGGGAAGAUGGAGAUAGACGUGGGCCGCGGACCAAGGUGCACGUCCAGUACCUACGCUCUGGGGCCCAGCAGGGAGUGAGUCACUGCCCUUCACAUGCAAAGGAAAAGGCCUUUUGGCCUAACUGGGAAGUCUGCUUCUUCCUGAUUUGGAAAAAAUAAAAUAAAAUAAAAACUGAUACCUCUUA
Molecule: long non-coding RNA, 519 nt
Organism: Lemur catta (Ring-tailed lemur)
Lineage: Eukaryota; Metazoa; Chordata; Mammalia; Primates; Lemuridae
Exons: 2
Source: RefSeq, a predicted model, not a curated record